Molecule: transfer RNA, 71 nt
Filed under: Heliconius melpomene (postman butterfly)
Lineage: Eukaryota; Metazoa; Arthropoda; Insecta; Lepidoptera; Nymphalidae
Description: tRNA HMEL005053
Rfam family: tRNA
About the family: Transfer RNA (tRNA) molecules are approximately 80 nucleotides in length. Their secondary structure includes four short double-helical elements and three loops (D, anti-codon, and T loops).
Source: RNAcentral
UCAUCGGUGGUUCAGUGGUAGAAUGCUCGCUUGCCACGCGGGCGGCCCGGGUUCGAUUCCCAGCCAAUGCA